This 436-nucleotide long non-coding RNA is filed under the name Anser brachyrhynchus (Pink-footed goose). RNAcentral describes it as "lncRNA (ENSABRG00000000110.1)". Lineage: Eukaryota; Metazoa; Chordata; Aves; Anseriformes; Anatidae. The record is from RNAcentral.
AAAAGAAAAAAGAAAAGAAAAGAAAAGAAAGAAAAAAGAAAAGAAAAAAGAAAAGAAAAAAGAAAAGAAAAAAGAAAAGAAAAAAAGAAAAAAACAGUUGCAGAUUCCUGAUCUUGUCUUGUCCCAGCUGAAUCACUGACUAGAGCAGGCAACUUUCUUGUUCACCUUGGCCUUACUGACUGAUUCUCCAGAAGAGAGAUGGACAUCAUCAGUCUGAACAUUAGCAGCCUCACAACAGCAGUUGACUCUAUACUUUCUGUAUAGCAGCUGGAGGAUAUUUUUGCCUUAUCUCAAGCCUCCUCAUGCCAAUUUCAGCUGUUGAAGAGGUACUCCAGCUUUAGGCUGUAUCAUGCUCCUUCAAGACAUGUUUCUUAAACCAAUAUCUGAUGUAGACAGGGAAAUGGGAGGUGUACAAGGGAUCAUGGCUGUGGAUUAA